RNAcentral lists this ribosomal RNA (546 nucleotides) under Escherichia coli. RNAcentral describes it as "partial 23S ribosomal RNA". It matches the Rfam family "Bacterial large subunit ribosomal RNA", at positions 711 to 1254 of the family's 2925-position model. The record is from RNAcentral. Lineage: Bacteria; Pseudomonadati; Pseudomonadota; Gammaproteobacteria; Enterobacterales; Enterobacteriaceae.
AGACCCGAAACCCGGUGAUCUAGCCAUGGGCAGGUUGAAGGUUGGGUAACACUAACUGGAGGACCGAACCGACUAAUGUUGAAAAAUUAGCGGAUGACUUGUGGCUGGGGGUGAAAGGCCAAUCAAACCGGGAGAUAGCUGGUUCUCCCCGAAAGCUAUUUAGGUAGCGCCUCGUGAAUUCAUCUCCGGGGGUAGAGCACUGUUUCGGCAAGGGGGUCAUCCCGACUUACCAACCCGAUGCAAACUGCGAAUACCGGAGAAUGUUAUCACGGGAGACACACGGCGGGUGCUAACGUCCGUCGUGAAGAGGGAAACAACCCAGACCGCCAGCUAAGGUCCCAAAGUCAUGGUUAAGUGGGAAACGAUGUGGGAAGGCCCAGACAGCCAGGAUGUUGGCUUAGAAGCAGCCAUCAUUUAAAGAAAGCGUAAUAGCUCACUGGUCGAGUCGGCCUGCGCGGAAGAUGUAACGGGGCUAAACCAUGCACCGAAGCUGCGGCAGCGACACUGUGUGUUGUUGGGUAGGGGAGCGUUCUGUAAGCCUGUGAA